This 317-nucleotide unclassified non-coding RNA is filed under the name Clavicipitaceae sp. RNAcentral describes it as "partial contains 5.8S ribosomal RNA, internal transcribed spacer 2, and large subunit ribosomal RNA". The stretch from base 1 to 71 matches the Rfam family "5.8S ribosomal RNA", at positions 84 to 154 of the family's 154-position model. The record is from RNAcentral. Lineage: Eukaryota; Fungi; Ascomycota; Sordariomycetes; Hypocreales; Clavicipitaceae.
GUGAAUCAUCGAAUCUUUGAACGCACAUUGCGCCCGCCAGUAUUCUGGCGGGCAUGCCUGUUCGAGCGUCAUUUCAACCCUCAAGUCCCCUGUGGACUUGGUGUUGGGGACCGGCGACACACAGCUGUUUACAGUUGGUCGCCGCCCCCUAAAUGACUUGGCGGCCUCGUCGCGGCCCUCCUCUGCGUAGUAGCACACACCUCGCAACAGGAGCCCGGCGAAUGGCCACUGCCGUAAAACCCCCAACUUCUUUUUAGAGUUGACCUCGAAUCAGGUAGGAAUACCCGCUGAACUUAAGCAUAUCAAUAAGCGGAGGA